UACGAAGGGGGCUAGCGUUGCUCGGAAUCACUGGGCGUAAAGCGCACGUAGGCGGCUUCUCAAGUCAGGGGUGAAAUCCUGGAGCUCAACUCCAGAACUGCCUUUGAUACUGUGGGGCUCGAGUCCGGGAGAGGCGAGUGGAACUGCGAGUGUAGAGGUGAAAUUCGUAGAUAUUCGCAAGAACACCAGUGGCGAAGGCGGCUCACUGGCCCGGUACUGACGCUGAGGUGCGAAAGCGUGGGGAGCAAACAGG
Molecule: ribosomal RNA, 253 nt
Filed under: uncultured bacterium
Lineage: Bacteria
Description: partial 16S ribosomal RNA
Rfam family: Bacterial small subunit ribosomal RNA
Source: RNAcentral